CUGCGAAUGGCUCAUUAAAUCAGUUAUCGUUUAUUUGAUAGUACCUUACUACUUGGAUAACCGUGGUAAUUCUAGAGCUAAUACAUGCUAAAAAUCUCGACUUCGGAAGAGAUGUAUUUAUUAGAUAAAAAACCAAUGCCCUUCGGGGCUUCUUGGUGAUUCAUAAUAACUUUUCAGAUCGCAUGGCCUUGAGCCGGCGACGGUUCAUUCAAAUUUCUGCCCUAUCAACUUUCGAUGGUAAGGUAGUGGCUUACCAUGGUUUCAACGGGUAACGGGGAAUUAGGGUUCGAUUCCGGAGAGUGAGCCUGAGAAACGGCUGACACAUCCAAGGAAGGCAGCAGGCGCGCAAAUUACCCAAUCCCAACAGUGGGGAGGUAGUGACAAUAAAUACUGAUACAGGGCUCUUUUGGGUCUUGUAAUUGGAAUGAGUACAAUUUAAACCUCUUAACGAGGAACAAUUGGAGGGCAAGUCUGGUGAACGCUGGUGCCAGACAGAGUCAGGCAGGCCGCCUGGCUAGUCGAACACCCACACAAAUGGGCGGGUGUCGGCAAGGUAACCUGGUACGGGAGACACCGCUCUUGCAGCGGCCAUCCCGUGGCGAGCUGGUUUUCCGCCAGCCGUCGUAACGCGCGCAAAGGUACCGGCCUAGUAGGCUCAUGGGACGCGCUAUCCCCCUGCGCAAGCAGGGCUCUGCACUGAAGCACCCAUUAUGCAAAGGUGUGGGAGGGCCAAAGCAAUUUGGCUGGGUGUGCUUGUGCUUUGCACAGGCGAGAAUGGCCAGCAGCCGCGGUAAUUCCAGCUCCAAUAGCGUAUAUUAAAGUUGUUGCCGUUAAAAAGCUCGUAGUUGAACCUUGGGCCUGGCUGGCAGGUCCGCCUCACCGCGUGUACUUGUCCGGCCGGGCCUUUCCUUCUGGAGAACCUCAUGCCCUUCACUGGGUGUGCUGGGGAACCAGGACUUUUACUUUGAAAAAAUUAGAGUGUUCAAAGCAGGCCUUUGCUCGAAUACGUUAGCAUGGAAUAAUAGAAUAAGACGUUGCGGUCUUAUUUUGUUGGUUUCUAAGACCGCCGUAAUGAUUAAUAGGGACGGUUGGGGGCAUUAGUAUUCAAUUGUCAGAGGUGAAAUUCUUGGAUUUAUUGAAGACUAACUACUGCGAAAGCAUUUGCCAAAGAUGUUUUCAUUAAUCAGUGAACGAAAGUUAGGGGAUCGAAAACGAUCAGAUACCGUUGUAGUCUUAACCGUAAACUAUGCCGACUAGGGAUUAGGCGGUGUUUCUAUCUUGACCCGCUUAGCACCU
RNAcentral lists this ribosomal RNA (1296 nucleotides) under Brevicollum versicolor. RNAcentral describes it as "bacterial SSU rRNA". It matches the Rfam family "Eukaryotic small subunit ribosomal RNA", at positions 87 to 1088 of the family's 1831-position model. The record is from RNAcentral. Lineage: Eukaryota; Fungi; Ascomycota; Dothideomycetes; Pleosporales; Neohendersoniaceae.